AACGAACGCUGGCGGCAUGCCUAACACAUGCAAGUCGAACGAGACCUUCGGGUCUAGUGGCGCACGGGUGCGUAACGCGUGGGAACCUGCCCUUAGGUUCGGAAUAACUCCCCAAAAGGGGCGCUAAUACCGGAUAAUGUCUUCGGACCAAAGAUUUAUCGCCUUUGGAUGGGCCCGCGUUGGAUUAGCUAGUUGGUAGGGUAAAAGCCUACCAAGGCGACGAUCCAUAGCUGGUCUGAGAGGAUGAUCAGCCACACUGGGACUGAGACACGGCCCAGACUCCUACGGGAGGCAGCAGUGGGGAAUAUUGGACAAUGGGCGAAAGCCUGAUCCAGCAAUGCCGCGUGAGUGAUGAAGGCCUUAGGGUUGUAAAGCUCUUUUACCCGGGAUGAUAAUGACAGUACCGGGAGAAUAAGCUCCGGCUAACUCCGUG
Molecule: ribosomal RNA, 433 nt
Filed under: uncultured bacterium
Lineage: Bacteria
Description: partial 16S ribosomal RNA
Rfam family: Bacterial small subunit ribosomal RNA
Source: RNAcentral